Molecule: ribosomal RNA, 470 nt
Filed under: uncultured bacterium
Lineage: Bacteria
Description: bacterial SSU rRNA
Rfam family: Bacterial small subunit ribosomal RNA
Source: RNAcentral
ACUCCUACGGGAGGCAGCAGUGAGGAAUAUUGGUCAAUGGAGGGAACUCUGAACCAGCCAUCCCGCGUGGUAGGAAGACGGCCUUAUGGGUUGUAAACUACUUUUAUACAGGAAGAAACGUACCCUCGUGAGGGUGCCUUGACGGUACCUGUAGGAAUAAGCACCGGCUAACUCCGUGCCAGCAGCCGCGGUAAUACGGAGGGUGCGAGCGUUAUCCGGAUUUAUUGGGUUUAAAGGGUCCGUAGGCGGGUUAAUAAGUCAGUGGUGAAAUCCCAUCGCUUAACGAUGGAACUGCCAUUGAUACUGUUAGUCUUGAAUGAGGGUGCAGUGGUUGGAAUGUGUAGUGUAGCGGUGAAAUGCAUAGAUAUUACACAGAACACCGAUUGCGAAGGCAGAUCACUAACCCUAAAUUGACGCUAGGGACGAAAGCGUGGGGAGCGAACAGGAUUAGAUACCCUGGUAGCUACGAG